Molecule: ribosomal RNA, 386 nt
Filed under: uncultured bacterium
Lineage: Bacteria
Description: bacterial SSU rRNA
Rfam family: Bacterial small subunit ribosomal RNA
Source: RNAcentral
AUUGAACGCUGGCGGCAUGCCUUACACAUGCAAGUCGAACGGCAGCACGGGUGCUUGCACCUGGUGGCGAGUGGCGAACGGGUGAGUAAUAUAUCGGAACGUACCUUAUCGUGGGGGAUAACGCAGCGAAAGCUGCGCUAAUACCGCAUACGCCCUGAGGGGGAAAGCGGGGGACCGUAAGGCCUCGCGCGAUUAGAGCGGCCGAUAUCUGAUUAGCUUGUUGGUGGGUAAAGCCCACCAAGGCGACGAUCAGUAGCUGGUCUGAGAGGACGAUCAGCCACACUGGGACUGAGACACGGCCCAGACUCCUACGGGAGGCAGCAGUGGGGAAUUUUGGACAAUGGGGGCAACCCUGAUCCAGCAAUGCCGCGUGAGUGAAGAAGGCC